RNAcentral lists this ribosomal RNA (476 nucleotides) under uncultured bacterium. RNAcentral describes it as "bacterial SSU rRNA". It matches the Rfam family "Bacterial small subunit ribosomal RNA", at positions 50 to 518 of the family's 1533-position model. The record is from RNAcentral.
AACACAUGCAAGCGAGGGGCGAGCAUAAAGUAGACAAUACUUGGUGGCGACCGGCGCACGGGUGAGUAACGCGUAUGCAACCUACCUAUCAGAGGGGAAUAACCCGGCGAAAGUCGGACUAAUACCGCAUAAAACAGGGGCACCGCAUGGUGAUAUUUGUUAAAGAAAUUCGCUGAUAGAUGGGCAUGCGUUCCAUUAGGUAGUUGGUGAGGUAACGGCUCACCAAGCCGACGAUGGAUAGGGGGACUGAGAGGUUGGUCCCCCACACUGGUACUGAGACACGGACCAGACUCCUACGGGAGGCAGCAGUGAGGAAUAUUGGUCAAUGGGCGGGAGCCUGAACCAGCCAAGUCCGCGUGAAGGAAGAAGGAUCUAUGGUUCGUAAACUUCUUUUGCAGGGGAAUAAAGUGCAGGACGUGUCCUGUUUUGUAUGUACCCUGAGAAUAAGGAUCGGCUAACUCCGUGCCAGCCGCCGC